This 506-nucleotide ribosomal RNA is filed under the name uncultured bacterium. RNAcentral's name for it is "bacterial SSU rRNA". It matches the Rfam family "Bacterial small subunit ribosomal RNA", at positions 30 to 523 of the family's 1533-position model. The record is from RNAcentral.
AUUGAACGCUGGCGGCAUGCCUUACACAUGCAAGUCGAACGGCAGCACGGGAGCUUGCUCCUGGUGGCGAGUGGCGAACGGGUGAGUAAUACAUCGGAACGUACCCUGAAGUGGGGGAUAACGUAGCGAAAGUUACGCUAAUACCGCAUAUUCUGUGAGCAGGAAAGAGGGGGAGUCGCAAGACCUCUUGCUUUAGGAGCGGCCGAUGUCGGAUUAGCUAGUUGGUGAGGUAAAGGCUCACCAAGGCGACGAUCCGUAGCGGGUCUGAGAGGAUGAUCCGCCACACUGGGACUGAGACACGGCCCAGACUCCUACGGGAGGCAGCAGUGGGGAAUUUUGGACAAUGGGCGCAAGCCUGAUCCAGCCAUGCCGCGUGAGUGAAGAAGGGCCUUCGGGUUGGUAAAGCUCUUUCGGUGGGGAAGGAAAUUGCUUCGGUUAAUACCUGGAGUAGAUGACGGUACCCGCAUAAGAAGCACCGGCUAACUACGUGCCAGCAGCCGCGGUAA